GAUGAACGCUGACAGAAUGCUUAACACAUGCAAGUCGAUGGGGAAGUGGUGCUUGCACCAUGGUAACCAUGGCGGACGGGUGAGUAACGCGUAAGGAACUUACCUGCGGGACCGGGAUAACAGCAGGAAACUGCUGACAAGACCGGAUAAGGUCAUUAAGCUGCAUAGCUUAGUGAUGAAAGGAGACGCCUGCGGAGAGCCUUGCGUCCUAUUAGCUAGUUGGAGGGGUAACGGCCCACCAAGGCGAAGAUAUGUAGCCGGCCUGAGAGGGUGGACGGCCACAAGGGGACUGAGAUACGGCCCUUACUCCUACGGGAGGAAGCAGUGGGGAAUAUUGGACAAUGGGGGCAACCCUGAUCCAGCAAUUCUGUGUGCACGAAGACGGUUUUCGGAUUGUAAAGUGCUUUCAGCAGGGAAGAAGGAAGUGACGGUACCUGCAGAAGAAGCGACGGCUAAAUACGUG
RNAcentral lists this ribosomal RNA (463 nucleotides) under uncultured bacterium. RNAcentral describes it as "partial 16S ribosomal RNA". It matches the Rfam family "Bacterial small subunit ribosomal RNA", at positions 28 to 507 of the family's 1533-position model. The record is from RNAcentral.